AGACACAAUAAUGGGGCUCACGAAUUUUAUUUAUUUAUCUUUUAAUACACCGACCUGCAUCUACAAUGAGGAAUCUUACAGACCUUGUAUGAAUAGUGCCAUGUACUCGAGGCAUUAUAGAAAAAGCAAUAGCUGCGAAUCACGCCGCUCCUUUAAGUCACUAUCAGUACGGGAAUUUGUUUUAAAAGGAAUCACCAUUUUCUUAUCUGCAUUGUUCUUCUUUCUUCUUCUCCUUUGGUUGUGGGUUCGUUGGGUAGAGGUCGGAUUGGAUAGGUGGGGUAGGUAAUCCUCUGAUUCCAGUAUGUUAUUUAUCAAUUUUAGUUCAUAAUCAAAAUUAUAAUCCCAUUUUUAAAUUUGCAUUUUACUGCAUGUGACAGAUAGGGCUGCUCAUUGAAGCUGACAGUUUGCGUGUUCAGUGAUGACAAUGCAAUUAAAAAUGGGAUUAUUUUAUUUCUUACUCCAAACGAAAGAGUCCUAGAUUUGAUUUUUUGGAAGUACUUGUUAACAUCUUUACUCCAUUUACUGCAAAAUUUAUUUAUUGAAUCUUCUGACAGCUUCAUUACCCAAAAACAUUGAAAAAUUUUCUCAAGAAAAUCUCUACAAAAAAUUGCCUUCACUGGAAUGUAAAUUUGGUCAGCCCAAACAUUUGAUUUGAAUUGAUAUUGGCUUUUGAAUAGCCUUUAGAAAAAAAAUUUAUCUGUCUGCGGUGAACUAGAAAAGGAUCGACAAAUUUGAUGGCUGAGAUUGGAUCAAAAAUCAAGAAGGGUCUGGUGAUUUUCAUUGGAUUGCUUCUUUUUGGUUGUGUGAUUGUUUCGGCAAAACAAAGUUCGAUAUUGGGAAAUGGAAGUUUAACAAACAAUUGGAUUACUGAAGAAUUUGGAUCAGCUUAUUUCAGUAAAAUAAUCAAUUUCUUGCAGCGAAGCAGGCACACACUUUACCAUCAUGUUUGGCCCGUGAGUUCUUUAUUUUCAUUAUAAAUGUGCUCUUAUUUUUCCCUGUAGGGCUAGAUAUUUGAAUUAUGACGGAUUUGGUAUGCUCGACUGGAAGUGGAAUCGACAAUAUUAAUGAACAUACAGUGUUGUAUUUUGGAUUACUGCAUUCUGAACAUCCCAUAAAAGAUUGAUAAAUUUUUUAUUUUAUUUUUAUUUUUUUACAGAAACUAGAAUUUGGUUGGAGAAUUGUUGUGGGUACAGUGAUUGGAUUCUUUGCUGCUGCUCUUGGGAGCGUUGGAGGUGUUGGUGGAGGUGGAAUAUUUGUCCCAAUGCUCACUCUAAUAGUAGGAUUUGAUCCAAAGUCGUCAACUGCAAUAUCGAAAUGUAAGAGUUAACAAUUUGUAUUGACAUCAGAUACAACCCACUUUCUUUUACACACACACCAAUUCCAACUGAUCAUUGCAUCUAAAUAGCCCUCAUUAAUCUCUGAAGAAGAAUCAAAUUCAAGUUCUUAAAAAAUUGAUUCCUAUAGAACAGUGCCUAGUCAUCGAAUUCUCAAUCAUGCGACUCAACUUUGACGCAUUUAGCUUUCCUAGGACCUAGAAAUUUGGCAUAUUUUUAUGCAGAGUUCUGAAUUAAAACUACCUAGAGGUAGAGGGCAUAUAGAUUCAGAUAGUCAUUGCUAAGUAGUUCUUGUUGGCUACUUGGCUCAGAUUUAGAUAACUAAAAUGUUCGACCUGGUCUCUGAUUUUAAUUUCCACCAUGGGCUUAGUUUCAUGGAAUUCAAAAGUCAACAGUAUUUGUAUUCAUUUUCUACUUUAGGGGCGAAGCUUUAGGAAAAGAAACUGAUUCAUUUGAAGACAAACACUUUUCACAAAUUACAGAACUGUAUUCUGAUCCUUUUGAUAAUUGGACUGUAUUUGAGCCCUUUUGUUUACUGUCCAGGUAUGAUUACCGGUGCAGCAGGUGCUGCUGUAUAUUACAAUAUCAAGCUCCGGCAUCCUACACUUGAUCUUCCUAUCAUCGAUUAUGAUCUAGCUCUUCUUUUUCAGCCAAUGCUAGUGCUCGGGGUCAGCGUUGGAGUUAUUUUUAACGUGAUUUUUGCAGACUGGAUGGUUACAGUUUUGUUGAUUAUUCUUUUCAUAGGUGAUGUCCAAUUUACUUACAUUUUUCAGUUGCAUUUUUUAGGUAACUUAUCAUUGUCUUAACUACAGGCAUGUCAACUAAGGCAUUCUUUAAGGGUGUUGAAACAUGGAAGAAAGAAUCCAUUAUGAAAAGGGUAGCCUAAAAUCUAAACUUUUUCACUUGUUCCGAUAUGCUAGUUGAUCUUUUGAUUUAAAAAAUCUAUUCUUUCUGUCUCUUAAUUCGGUAUGCAGGAGGCUUCUAGACGCUUGUCAUCUGAUUGUGAGUAUGCACUACUUUUCAAUCUUGAGAAAUAUUUUGUAAAAAAUUUUAGUUAGCCAGAUUCGAGUAAAGACCGAAUUGAAAUCAGAUAAUAGAAGUGAAGAAGUGCAAUACAAACUUGUACCUGGAGUCCCAACUAAUGGAACUGGAGUACGUCUCAAUGAUUAUAAAGCAUCGGAGGUAACUAUCUUCUAAUACCUGAAUAGCAUGUUAGGUAGGGAGGAUUGUACCACUCUUGAAAAACAUUAAGAAAGAGAAGAAGUUAAUAUCUUGUUCGUUAUACCAUUGAGUCUUGUCCUCUACUAUGUACCAGACAUGCACAAACAGUUACAGAUUCGUGAAUUAAUUUCCAAACCGACGCUGAUUUCCACAAGUCUUGCAGGUCUCGGUUAUUGACAAUGUCUAUUGGAAGGAACUCACCAUACUCAUUGCCGUCUGGGCCAUAAUCCUUUUACUUCAUAUCGGCAAGGUUUUCAUAUAUUAUACUCUUGAAAAUCCUCUCUUAAGGCCUUUUUUUCCACUUCAAGUUUUUACUCUUUUAUGAGUUAUUAUUGAGAAGACUAGCGCAUCUUUAAUACAGGAUUAUACAACAACUUGUUCAGUAGCAUAUUGGACUCUGACCUUGUUGCAGGUACUACUUAUGCCGAACUGUGAAAAAAUAUAUCCAAGCCCUGGAUCACUACCCUACAUUUUUAUUUUUUUUUGUCUUAGAGCAAGAUAAACAUAUAUAACGACAUUUAUAUUUCUGUUGAUUCUCAGAUCCCUGUAGCAAUUGGAGCAUCUGGUUAUGAGGCAGUUGGUUUAUAUAAGGGUUGGAGGGUUAUAGCUUCAAGGGGAGAAGCACGAAAAAAUUGGACAGUGCAACAGUUGAUUCUCUGUUGUUGCAGUGGAAUUUUGGCUGGUGUGGUUGGUGGGCUGCUAGGCCUUGGUGGAGGAUUCAUAUUAGGGCCAUUAUUUCUAGAGCUUGGAGUUCCUCCACAGGUACUUUGUAAUCGUCUUGAAUCAAUGUUGGCAUGUUUUGUGUGGAUGAUUAAAUGCCACUGCACAAUAUUAAUGAAGAAUAUAAGUCUUAAGAUUAUUUAUGUACCAAACAUGCACAUUGAUUUGUUACAGUUUGUAACUUCUCUGGUGAUCGAGUAAAUGAUAAAAGAAACAGUGAUCAUGAAUUUCACAAGAGAGAGAAAAAAAAUAAAAAAAAAAUGUCUCCCAAUGGAUCGUUAACUGGUAUACUCAUGCCCAUUCCCUCCAUAACCCGAAUGCUCAGAGCAGCCUUCUCAACUCCUUACAAGUUCAUUUUUCUAGUUUACCCUGAAAUAUUCCCUCCAGUGUUUAGCUGCUUAUGAAAUAACAUUAGACAUACUUGCAUGUUCUAAAAUUCUUGUCCUAAAACUUGUAAUUAACCAUCUCCUGCCCCGUACAAUAGUUCACAAUCUUUAGUUAAAAACUUCUGAUGCAGGUCUCAAGUGCCACAGCCACAUUUGCCAUGGUAUUUUCUUCAUCCAUGUCUGUAGUACAAUACUAUCUUUUGAAACGCUUUCCAGUAUCAUACGGUAAGUUAUCCAGCCAACUUCUAUUCAACAUAUGGUUAGUUGUUGUGCAUACUUCUUGAUUUGAAAAGUAAAAGAUUGUUAUUUCAUUAGGCAUAUAUUAGAUCAUUGCUCAACUAACUGUUUCUCUCACUUGCAGCUCUUUAUUUUGUUGCUGUGGCUACCGUUGCUGCAUUGGUAGGGCAGCACGUAGUAAGAAAGAUGAUUAGUAUAUUCAGACGAGCAUCCUUAAUCAUCUUUAUUUUGGCAUUCACCAUUUUUGCAAGUGCAAUUUCACUAGGCAAGUAUUGUUGAACUCUACAUCAAUAAUUUCCUGCACGUUUUCAAGAUUUAAAUGAGACAUUCUAUGUCAUCUUGUUAAAUUUUUUUCACCUCGCUUUGUUAAAAAAUUGUUGUUGCAUCAUUCUUGACAGGUGGGGUUGGUAUAUCGCACAUUAUCGGGAAGGUGGAUGGAAAAGAAAACAUUUGGUUUUAUAACAUCUGUGAAUAAGAGCCGUAGGGUUUGAAGCAUUUGUGUAUGUACAAUUUUCUUUAGUAACAACUAUACUUAUUCUUCUUUCAAUGAUGUAAAUGUGUAAUAAUCCCAAGAAUUGAGAUGUUACCUUAUAAUCUGAUAUGGAAGAUCACAUUUUCUCUAUUCAAGGGUUGCUUCCAAUAUCUAAUAGGACACAAAGCUCACAAGUUGGGUCAGGAUUAACCAGGUAAAUAAUAAAAGAUUCAUAUAGUUGACGCAAAAGUCUAGAGCCCC
RNAcentral lists this long non-coding RNA (4631 nucleotides) under Olea europaea subsp. europaea. The record is from RNAcentral. Lineage: Eukaryota; Viridiplantae; Streptophyta; Magnoliopsida; Lamiales; Oleaceae.